GCAAGUCGAACGAGAAAGUACCUUCGGGUGUGAGUACAGUGGCGGACGGGUGAGUAACGCGUAGGAAUAUACCUGGUAGUGGGGGACAACUCGGGGAAACUCGAGCUAAUACCGCAUACGCUCUACGGAGGAAAGUGGGGGAUCUUCGGACCUCACGCUAUCAGAGUAGCCUGCGUUGGAUUAGCUAGUUGGUGAGGUAAAGGCUCACCAAGGCGACGAUCCAUAGCUGGUCUGAGAGGAUGGAC
This 245-nucleotide ribosomal RNA is filed under the name uncultured bacterium. RNAcentral's name for it is "partial 16S ribosomal RNA". It matches the Rfam family "Bacterial small subunit ribosomal RNA", at positions 57 to 305 of the family's 1533-position model. The record is from RNAcentral.